Molecule: long non-coding RNA, 201 nt
Organism: Actinia tenebrosa (Australian red waratah sea anemone)
Lineage: Eukaryota; Metazoa; Cnidaria; Anthozoa; Actiniaria; Actiniidae
Source: RefSeq, a predicted model, not a curated record
UGGAGCUUUCCUUAGGAAUUUCAUGCUCAAAAAUCUGUACCUAUUGCAAACCAAGAUCAAAAACCUUAACGUGAAAUGGUUUAGUCCAUUCGUGUACAGAAUUAGAACAGCAAUACAAAUAUAUCCAACCGAAAAUGCCGAGACAAUAAAAAUGUUAGACCUGAGUAGCGAUUUGAUGGCUGGGUACAGCAGCACUGGAUU